CAUAAGUUAACAUCGCGUGUGCUGGUUGCUAAAACAGGAAAAUGGAUGAGGAAAGUGCAAAUUACAUAAAAAGUGUUUGUGGUUCUCUUGGAUUUGAUAAUUACAGCCAAAGAUUCAUUGACUAGCACAUCUGCCACAACUGUCGAAAAUACUUCAGAAUCUAGUAUUUCAUCUCCAUUAAAUCUUGACGAAGAGCAAAAUCUCUACAAUUCUUUCAAGCAGAUAAUUCAAGACACAGAGUCUGCUAAUACAGUGAAGGAAGUAUUGAGUACCAAGGCGGCAGAGGGAAAAAUUAUUCUAAAUUACUAUAAGGAUAACUGCGAUUUGCUUCCCUGCCACCGCAAUUCACUUGCGAAAAUUAUCAUCCACAAUGAAUUUGAAGUCUUUGAAAAGGUAUCAGAAUUGACCAAAGGAUCCCAGAAGUUCACGAUCACCACUCAAAGAUUUAAGGAACUGGUAUCACAGUUACUGGAAAUUUUUCCAACUGAGAAGGGUCUUCUGUACUACGUCCCAUACGACAGUACUACGAAACAAAACGCAUCUGGAAAACUUUGGGAAAGUUUUUGUUAUCUAAAAAAGAAGCUUAAAGCAUCCAGGG
Molecule: long non-coding RNA, 598 nt
Organism: Phlebotomus papatasi
Lineage: Eukaryota; Metazoa; Arthropoda; Insecta; Diptera; Psychodidae
Exons: 4
Source: RefSeq, a predicted model, not a curated record